CAUUGUUAAAUAUGGAUAUACAGGUAGUUAUGAAAAUUUGCCCGGAUCUGCGAACACGCGCCAAACUGCGCUUUAUUACCUUCUGAUAAAGCCAGAGCUACGCAUCGUUAGGCACGCAAGCAAUAAACGAUGCGCAUGCGCAGUGCCAUGUCUCGACACCAGGCGAUGGUUUGGGAAGAGGGUUUAGUGAUGUGCCUUUGGCCCACAAUCGCAGAUUGCGAGAAGUAUUACCACCCCUGCGCGUUCCUGUCCUGGGAAAUAACCGGUUUCACUGACCGUACAAGACUGGCUACAAUGGCCGGAAAAGAAACAGCUGGACCCCACUUUACGAUGCGUAGUGGCAGUUGCAACGUGGACCAGGGUGCAAGCAGUGCAGCCACUGAUCUAAACCAUGGCAGGGUUCCCAGAGAAACCAGGGAAGCAGCGUGGCACAAGCGAGACAACCAGCCUGCCAACAGAAUCCAAGAGUGCCACGUGUGCCGUUUGUGUUCACCGACGCGGAGGCCUUCCAAAAGCACGCCGCUGACCACUCGCUCGGGAAAAACCACAACUGCUCCAAAUGUGGUAAACUGUUUGCGAGCACAAGGAACCUCACGAAGCAUUUACUUUUGCACGGCGAACCAUCCUUUGUGUGCGGCUUGUGCAAAAAAAAAGUUUAAUAGAAAAGAUAACCUCAAGACCCACAUGCUUGCAUGGCACGUUGGUUCACAGGACUGAGAAGCCAUCGAAGGGACCCCUUAAGAGGGCAGCACGCGCCACGAAAUUGGUCGAGCAAGCCGGGAUGCACCGACGCACGUGACGGUGACAUCGGCAUCGCUACAGCCGGAUAUUCGCCCUGGAGGAGUGACUUCUCUGGAUGUCACCCUUGCGCCAAGACCCGUCUUGAGUUUUCGCAGAAUUACUUGCGGUCUGGGCCUCAACUGUUCUAGCUGUGAGCUAACCUUUUGACAAACAAAACUGGGAUAAUCUUAUUCAUUCUGACUACGGCUGAAGAAGGCCUGCAAAUAAACUUUUUACAGUGGUUAUCUCGGAGAA
Dermacentor albipictus is the source of this 1035-nucleotide long non-coding RNA. RefSeq lists it as uncharacterized. Lineage: Eukaryota; Metazoa; Arthropoda; Arachnida; Ixodida; Ixodidae. The record is from RefSeq and is a predicted model, not a curated record.